This 303-nucleotide ribosomal RNA is filed under the name Triticum aestivum (bread wheat). RNAcentral describes it as "partial small subunit ribosomal RNA". The record is from RNAcentral. Lineage: Eukaryota; Viridiplantae; Streptophyta; Magnoliopsida; Poales; Poaceae.
AUGGUGGACGUGGACAUUAGAGCUGUUUGCAAUAAGGGAUCUCCAGGCUCGGCAUCAUCGAGGACAAGAAUCUCUGAACCAAAGGAAGAUGACUAUGUAAUACUGAUUCCCCAUUCCCACAUCUUUGCCCUCAUGCUUCAAGCUCUCAAGUUGCCCCCUGCAACUUACCAUCACAAGACAUGUCCGGAAGACAGCGCUGCUAUCGCAGCCAUUAGGUUUAUGGAGGAUGCAUGUGGCAAGGAAAUUAGGGAUUAUCACUACUCCCACGUUAAAAGCUGGAAAAUCAAGUCACACACUUGGUAA